AUGAUUAUAAUCAAGUACUCCAUACAACCAUUAUCAACUCUUAAUUUGAUUUCUGUGCCCUUGAAUCAUGGCAUGUUCACCUUUUGUCAUGCAUAUUCAUUUACAGUUGUAUUUCAUCAGCAUAGCGUUCUGUCAUCAGAUCAGUCUCUCCUUUCAAUUAGUUCUCUUGCACUGACCGAUACAUUAGUCGGGUUAGGCGGGAACUUUAUUACUCCCUCCAUUAAAAGUUUCAGCAUGCCCAAUAUUAGGUCUUUGCUUCAAACAUUGUUGGUUAAUCGAGCCGAGACUUUGGCACCAUGA
This 300-nucleotide ribosomal RNA is filed under the name Triticum aestivum (bread wheat). Its description in RNAcentral is "partial small subunit ribosomal RNA". The record is from RNAcentral. Lineage: Eukaryota; Viridiplantae; Streptophyta; Magnoliopsida; Poales; Poaceae.